CCGCCUUUAUUGUUUUUCAGCGUCUUUAAUUGGUUGUGAGUUUGUGCAACAUUUCCGGGAGUGGUGUUUGUUUACUCUUCGCGAAGGGCGGAAAAACCUCAAACAGAUCUAAUAAGUAGAAGCUGCAAACAUGGUCUGACUGAUUAUAAAAGCGAGCGUAUACGCCGUCAGGAAGAUCCGGGCGGCCAUUACUAAGGGAGAGCAAGUGGAAGAGCCCAUUGUGACGCCAUGUAGUGCUAUUGCUGAAAAGAAAGCUGCAGGAGCGCUCAGAGAGCCACCGGAGGCCAUAAUGGCAUCUGAAAACGAUGAGGCCAUCAACGGGGAAGUGGCCUCCAGAACACCUUUGACUGUGCAGAAAUAUGACUCUUGAUGUUAAAACUGUGCUCCUCUUAAAACAUUUAUUUGAAUCCUCUUGUAAAAUGUUGAUAAUGUCUGCUGCAGCGUAUGAAGACUCAACUCAAAAACCUCUUCAAAGAGGCUGAGUGGAUCUGAUGUUUUUUGCAAUGAUAAUAUCAAUAAAUGCUUGAAAUCAA
Molecule: long non-coding RNA, 533 nt
Organism: Hippocampus zosterae (dwarf seahorse)
Lineage: Eukaryota; Metazoa; Chordata; Actinopteri; Syngnathiformes; Syngnathidae
Exons: 3
Source: RefSeq, a predicted model, not a curated record